Molecule: ribosomal RNA, 498 nt
Filed under: uncultured bacterium
Lineage: Bacteria
Description: partial 16S ribosomal RNA
Rfam family: Bacterial small subunit ribosomal RNA
Source: RNAcentral
GAUGAACGCUAGCGGCAGGCCUAAUACAUGCAAGUCGAACGGGAUUGAGGAGCUUGCUCCUCAUGAGAGUGGCGCACGGGUGCGUAACACGUAUGUAACCUACCUUAAUCAGGGGAAUAGCCUCUCGAAAGAGAGAUUAACACCGCAUAAAAUCACACUAUGGCAUCAUAGAAUGAUCAAAUAUUUAUAGGAUUAAGAUGGGCAUGCGGAACAUUAGCUAGUUGGUAAGGUAACGGCUUACCAAGGCUACGAUGUUUAGGGGAUCUGAGAGGAUGGCCCCCCACACUGGUACUGCGACACGGACCAGACUCCUACGAGAGGCAGCAGUAAGGAAUAUUGGUCAAUGGGCGGAAGCCUGAACCAGCCAUGCCGCGUGCAGGAAGACGGCCCUACGGGUUGUAAACUGCUUUUGUACCGGAAUAAACCUUUCUACGUGUAGGAAGCUGAAUGUACGGUAAGAAUAAGGAUCGGUUAACUCCGUGCCAGCCGCCGCAGUAA